RNAcentral lists this ribosomal RNA (510 nucleotides) under Thalamita squamosa. Its description in RNAcentral is "partial 16S ribosomal RNA". It matches the Rfam family "Archaeal large subunit ribosomal RNA", at positions 1923 to 2663 of the family's 2987-position model. Lineage: Eukaryota; Metazoa; Arthropoda; Malacostraca; Decapoda; Portunidae. The record is from RNAcentral.
AUGAAAAUAUUUAUAGUCUAGCCUGCUCACUGAUAAUAAUAUUAAAUAGCCGCGGUAUCCUGACCGUGCAAAGGUAGCAUAAUCACUAGUUCUUUAAUAGGGGACUUGUAUGAAUGGUUGGACAAGGAAGAAACUGUCUCUUUUAUUAAAAUUGAAUUUAACUUUUAAGUGAAAAGGCUUAAAUUCUUCAAGGGGACGAUAAGACCCUAUAAAGCUUUACAAGUUUAGGGAUUUUAUAUAUUUUUAUAUAAUUAUAGCUUCUUGACGAUUUGUUGGGUUGGGGCGACAAUAGUAUAAUAAAAGUAACUGCUUGAAUUAAAUACAAAUAUAUUUGAUUAUUAUAUAUUAGUAGAUCCUUUAUAAAGAUUUAAAGACUAAGUUACUUUAGGGAUAACAGCGUUAUUUUUCCUGAGAGUCCUUAUCGAAGGAAAAGUUUGCGACCUCGAUGUUGAAUUAAAAUGUCUUUAUAGGGCAGCAUCUAUAUAAGAAGGUCUGUUCGACCUUUAAUAU